GGUUCGGCUGUUCGCCGAUUAAAGUGGUACGUGAGCUGGGUUUAGAACGUCGUGAGACAGUUCGGUCCCUAUCUACCGUGGGUGUAGGAAACUUGAGAGGAGCUGUCCCUAGUACGAGAGGACCGGGAUGGACAUCCCUCUGGUGUACCAGUUGUCACGCCCGUGGCAUCGCUGGGUAGCUAAGGAUGGACAGGAUAACCGCUGAAAGCAUCUAAGCGGGAAGCCUCCCUCGAAACCAGGUUUCCCUAUCAGGACCGUGGUAGACCACCACGUUAAUAGGCCGGGUGUGGAAGCGCAGUAAUGCGUGAAGCUAACCGGUACUAAUCGUCCGAUCGGCUUGAUAAA
Molecule: ribosomal RNA, 345 nt
Filed under: Rubrivivax gelatinosus
Lineage: Bacteria; Pseudomonadati; Pseudomonadota; Betaproteobacteria; Burkholderiales; Sphaerotilaceae
Description: partial 23S ribosomal RNA
Rfam family: Bacterial large subunit ribosomal RNA
Source: RNAcentral